This 258-nucleotide ribosomal RNA is filed under the name uncultured bacterium. Its description in RNAcentral is "partial 16S ribosomal RNA". It matches the Rfam family "Bacterial small subunit ribosomal RNA", at positions 235 to 507 of the family's 1533-position model. The record is from RNAcentral.
ACGAGUUUAGGGUAGUUGGUGAGGUAAAAGGCUCACCAAGCCGACGAUCUGUAGCUGGUCUGAGAGGACGACCAGCCACACUGGGACUGAGACACGGCCCAGACUCCUACGGGAGGCAGCAGUGGGGAAUAUUGGGACAAUGGGCGAAAGCCUGAUCCAGCAAUGCCGCGUGAGUGAUGAAGGCCUUAGGGUUGUAAAGCUCUUUUACCCGAGAUGAUAAUGACAGUAUCGGGAGAAUAAGCUCCGGCUAACUCCGUG